GGUGGAGCGAUUUGUCUGGUUAAUUCCGAUAACGAACGAGACUCUGGCCUAUUAAAUAGACGAUAUAUUUAAAAGUAUAUCGCGCUUCUUAGAGGGACAAGCGGCGUCUAGCCGCAUGAAAUAGAGCAAUAACAGGUCUGUGAUGCCCUUAGAUGUCCGGGGCUGCACGCGCGCUACACUGAAAGAAUCAGUGUGCGUUACGCCUAGUUCGGAAGAACCGGGUAACCCAAGUAAAUUCUUUCGUGCUUGGGAUAGGGAAUUGCAAUUAUUUCCCUUAAACGAGGAAUUCCCAGUAAAUGCGGGUCAUAAGCUCGCGUUGAAUACGUCCCUGCCCUUUGUAC
RNAcentral lists this ribosomal RNA (341 nucleotides) under Nematoda environmental sample. Its description in RNAcentral is "SSU rRNA". It matches the Rfam family "Eukaryotic small subunit ribosomal RNA", at positions 1300 to 1665 of the family's 1831-position model. Lineage: Eukaryota; Metazoa; Nematoda. The record is from RNAcentral.